RNAcentral lists this ribosomal RNA (253 nucleotides) under uncultured bacterium. RNAcentral's name for it is "partial 16S ribosomal RNA". It matches the Rfam family "Bacterial small subunit ribosomal RNA", at positions 524 to 776 of the family's 1533-position model. The record is from RNAcentral.
UACGUAGGGGGCAAGCGUUGUCCGGAAUCAUUGGGCGUAAAGCGCACGUAGGCUGUCUGCUAAGUCGGUUGUGAAAGCCCCCGGCUCAACCGGGGAAUUGCGUUCGAUACUGGCAGGCUGGAGGACGGUUGGGGUGAGUGGAACUCCAGGUGGAGCGGUGAAAUGCGUAGAUAUCAGGAAGAACACCAAUGGCGAAGGCAGCUCUCUGGGACGGUACUGACGCUGAGACGCGAAAGCGUGGGGAGCGAACAGG